GAUGAACGCUGGCGGCGUGCCUAAUACAUGCAAGUCGAGCGAACAGACGAGGAGUUUGCUCCUCUGACGUUAGCGGCGGACGGGUGAGUAACACGUGGUUAACCUACCUAUAAGACUGGGAUAACUUCGGGAAACCGGAGCUAAUACCGGAUAAUAAAUUGAACCGAAUGGUUUAAUAGUGAAAGACGGUUUUGCUGUGCUUUAUAGAUGGAUCCGCGCCGCAUUAGCUAGUUGGUAAGGGAACGGCUUACCAAGGCAACGAUGCGUAGCCGACCUGAGAGGGUGAUCGGCCCCACUGGAAUUGAGACACGGUCCCGACUCCUACGGGAAGCAGCAGUAGGGAAUCCUCCGCAAAGGGCGAAAGCCUGACGGAGCAACGCCGCGUGAGUGAUGAAGGUCGUCGAAUCGUAAAACUCUGUUAUUAGGGAAGAACAAAUGUGUAAGUAACUAUGCACGUCUUGACGUCACCUAAUCAGAAAGCCACGGCUAACUACGUG
This 497-nucleotide ribosomal RNA is filed under the name uncultured bacterium. Its description in RNAcentral is "partial 16S ribosomal RNA". It matches the Rfam family "Bacterial small subunit ribosomal RNA", at positions 28 to 507 of the family's 1533-position model. The record is from RNAcentral.